CGCCUGUUUAACAAAAACAUUUCUUUUAGGUUUUUUUAAAGGUACUUUCUGCCCUAUGAUGUAUGUCUAAAUGGCUGCAGUACCUUGACUGUGCAAAGGUAGCAUAAUAAUUAGUUUCUUAAUUGAAGGCUGGAAUGAAUGGAAAUUUGAGAUAUAUGUUUUAUUUAAUUUAAUGUUAAAAUUUAAAUUUUAAGUUAAAAUGCUUAAGUGAAUUCUGGGACGGUAAGACCCUAUAGAACUUUACAAUGUUUGAUUUUAAUGAAUUUUUACAUUAAAUAUUAUAUUGAAUUUAAGACUGUUUUGCUGGGGUGGUGAAUAAAUUUAAACUUUAUUAAUAAAAAUCAUUAUAAAUGUUUGUGUUGAUCUGUUAUUAAGAAUUAAAGAAUAAGUUACCUUAGGGAUAACAGCGUAAUUAUAAUGGAAAGUUCAUAUUUAUAUUGAUUUUUGCGACCUCGAUGUUGAAUUAAGGUAAAUUUUAAGAAGCAGUAUUCUUAAGUUUAAGUCUGUUCGACUUUUAAAUCCUUACUUGAUCUGAGUUCAGACCGG
This 546-nucleotide ribosomal RNA is filed under the name Destria bisignata. RNAcentral's name for it is "partial 16S ribosomal RNA". It matches the Rfam family "Bacterial large subunit ribosomal RNA", at positions 1797 to 2619 of the family's 2925-position model. The record is from RNAcentral. Lineage: Eukaryota; Metazoa; Arthropoda; Insecta; Hemiptera; Cicadellidae.